AACUGGCACAUAUUGACAUUGUUCUCACAACCCAUUAACUUACAGCCGGAAAGUGAAAAGGCCAAGAGACACGUAAAACCUCUGUGUGAGUCCGUCUGUGCAUGUAUGUAAGCAACUUCUAGGUUUUAGUGCUUUGGAAGUUUCUAGCUUCAGCCCAGAUUAAAGAAGUUGCCUUCCUCUGAAUCAUGGAAAAAUACACUUUCUGCAGCAAAACAGUGAUAAAAAGGGAGAGGUGCCUGCUCCAAACGAGAAGACCUGGGUCACAGCAGUAACCCUUGCUGUUGAGAUGGGAUCCUUAGCAGAUAAGGAUCCAGCUUGGAUCACACCCAGCUGCACAGCCCUGUCUCAGAGAAGUGUGAGCACUAAGAGGGUGCGAAGGCUGAGGAAGAAGAAAACAGGAGCUACUGGUCUUGGGUUUAGAUUCUAAAAGUUAAAGAGCAACUCAGUGAGGUAGCUUUUAAUUUGGACCCACAGUCUGUUCAUUUAAAUGUGCAGCUCCAGCACUUUCAGUCGUACCUGGAGCGGCCUGGCCAUUCGGAGAAGCUGUACCCCACCAGUUUGGGCAAACACAGUGUUGAUUGAUAUGGUGUGUCACUAAACACAGUUCCAGUGAUGGCUGUGACUCAGAUGUAUUGCCUUCAGUUGCACACUUACACUCUCAAGGCAUGACUUCUGUAACUAAAAUGUGACCGAUGGGAGUACUUCUCAGAAAGUGUGCCCCUGGGCCCUCGCACAGACAUGGCAGGGAGCAGGGAGCAGGGAGGUAUUUAGUGCUAAAGCCCUGCUAAAAUUCUCAGAAGUGACUUUCCACUGGGUGAUCAUUUCAGUGGCAAUGCUUUUCUUCAGGACCUGUGGCAUUGUCCUACAUCCUGCAUUAUGCAAUGAUUGUUGUAGGUAAUUACUUGUGGUAGUUAUUCUUUUUAGUGUAAGUUGUGCACACUUUCUCAAGCAAGCAACAUGGUUUGCCUUUUAUAUUUGUAUUAUUGGGCUCUCUACAUAAUCUGUUUCAAAAUUCUAUUACAUGAACUUGCUUUUUCCUUUCCUGUCACCAGUGAGAGUC
Molecule: long non-coding RNA, 1060 nt
Organism: Lepidothrix coronata (blue-crowned manakin)
Lineage: Eukaryota; Metazoa; Chordata; Aves; Passeriformes; Pipridae
Source: Ensembl